RNAcentral lists this ribosomal RNA (765 nucleotides) under uncultured Streptococcus sp. Its description in RNAcentral is "bacterial SSU rRNA". It matches the Rfam family "Bacterial small subunit ribosomal RNA", at positions 28 to 776 of the family's 1533-position model. Lineage: Bacteria; Bacillati; Bacillota; Bacilli; Lactobacillales; Streptococcaceae. The record is from RNAcentral.
GAUGAACGCUGGCGGCGUGCCUAAUACAUGCAAGUAGAACGCUGAAGCUUGGUGCUUGCACCGAGCGGAUGAGUUGCGAACGGGUGAGUAACGCGUAGGUAACCUACCUCUUAGCGGGGGAUAACUAUUGGAAACGAUAGCUAAUACCGCAUAAAAGUCGACAUUGCAUGAUGUUGACUUGAAAGGUGCAAAUGCAUCACUAAGAGAUGGACCUGCGUUGUAUUAGCUAGUUGGUGAGGUAACGGCUCACCAAGGCGACGAUACAUAGCCGACCUGAGAGGGUGAUCGGCCACACUGGGACUGAGACACGGCCCAGACCCCUACGGGAGGCAGCAGUAGGGAAUCUUCGGCAAUGGACGGAAGUCUGACCGAGCAACGCCGCGUGAGUGAAGAAGGUUUUCGGAUCGUAAAGCUCUGUUGUAAGAGAAGAACGAGUGUGAGAGUGGAAAGUUCACACUGUGACGGUAACUUACCAGAAAGGGACGGCUAACUACGUGCCAGCAGCCGCGGUAAUACGUAGGUCCCGAGCGUUAUCCGGAUUUAUUGGGCGUAAAGCGAGCGCAGGCGGUUAGAUAAGUCUGAAGUUAAAGGCUGUGGCUUAACCAUAGUACGCUUUGGAAACUGUUUAACUUGAGUGCAGAAGGGGAGAGUGGAAUUCCAUGUGUAGCGGUGAAAUGCGUAGAUAUAUGGAGGAACACCGGUGGCGAAAGCGGCUCUCUGGUCUGUAACUGACGCUGAGGCUCGAAAGCGUGGGGAGCAAACAGG